Molecule: ribosomal RNA, 270 nt
Filed under: uncultured prokaryote
Description: partial 16S ribosomal RNA
Rfam family: Bacterial small subunit ribosomal RNA
Source: RNAcentral
UACGUAGGGGCGAGCGUUGUCCGGAAUUAUUGGGCGUAAAGGGCGCGCAGGCGGUUUCUUAAGUCUGAUGUGAAAUCUCGUGGCUUAACCACGAGCGGUCGUUGGAAACUGGGAAACUUGAGUACAGAAGAGGAGAGUGGAAUUCCACGUGUAGCGGUGAAAUGCGUAGAGAUGUGGAGGAACACCAGUGGCGAAGGCGGCUCUCUGGUCUGUAACUGACGCUGAGGUGCGAAAGUGUGGGGAGCAAACAGGAUUAGAUACCCUGGUAGU